GUCAGCAUGGUGUAGUGGUUAGAGCACUGGACUAUGAUUCUGGUGACCGAAGUUCAAAUCCUGGCUCUUUUA
Non-coding RNA from Phrynosoma platyrhinos (Desert horned lizard), 72 nucleotides. NCBI's taxonomy places the organism in Eukaryota, Metazoa, Chordata, Lepidosauria, Squamata, Phrynosomatidae. The record is from the annotation of a GenBank genome assembly.